CGUGUAGGCGGCUUUGCAAGUCGGGUGUGAAAGCCCUCAGCUCAACUGAGGAAGUGCGCCCGAAACUGCAGAGCUUGAGUACCGGAGAGGAUGGCGGAAUUCCCCAAGUAGAGGUGAAAUUCGUAGAUAUGGGGAGGAACACCGGUGGCGAAGGCGGCCAUCUGGACGGUCACUGACGCUGAGACGCGAAAGCGUGGGUAGCAAACAG
Molecule: ribosomal RNA, 208 nt
Filed under: uncultured delta proteobacterium
Lineage: Bacteria; Deltaproteobacteria
Description: partial 16S ribosomal RNA
Rfam family: Bacterial small subunit ribosomal RNA
Source: RNAcentral